GACGAACGCUGGCGGCGUGCUUAACACAUGCAAGUCGAACGAAGAGCGAUGGAAGCUUGCUUCUAUCAAUCUUAGUGGCGAACGGGUGAGUAACGCGUAAUCAACCUGCCCUUCAGAGGGGGACAACAGUUGGAAACGACUGCUAAUACCGCAUACGAUCUAAUCUCGGCAUCGAGGAUAGAUGAAAGGUGGCCUCUACAUGUAAGCUAUCACUGAAGGAGGGGAUUGCGUCUGAUUAGCUAGUUGGAGGGGUAACGGCCCACCAAGGCGAUGAUCAGUAGCCGGUCUGAGAGGAUGAACGGCCACAUUGGGACUGAGACACGGCCCAGACUCCUACGGGAGGCAGCAGUGGGGAAUCUUCCGCAAUGGACGAAAGUCUGACGGAGCAACGCCGCGUGAGUGAUGACGGCCGUCGGGUUGUAAAGCUCUGUUAAUCGGGACGAAAGGCCUUCUUGCGAAUAGUGAGGAGGAUUGACGGUACCGGAAUAGAAAGCCACGGCUAACUACGUG
RNAcentral lists this ribosomal RNA (510 nucleotides) under uncultured bacterium. RNAcentral's name for it is "partial 16S ribosomal RNA". It matches the Rfam family "Bacterial small subunit ribosomal RNA", at positions 28 to 507 of the family's 1533-position model. The record is from RNAcentral.